This 545-nucleotide small RNA is filed under the name Arabidopsis thaliana (thale cress). RNAcentral's name for it is "ATSL166030". The record is from RNAcentral. Lineage: Eukaryota; Viridiplantae; Streptophyta; Magnoliopsida; Brassicales; Brassicaceae.
CAAAUCUUCGAAUUAAAUAUUUAACAUUUAACAAUGUUCCCUAAAUCUCUCCACAUUACCUACACGAUUAGUUCCUAAAAUAAAACUUCCAAAAUAUUUAAUAUCAUUUAAUUACUACAAAAUUAUCAUUUUUGAUAUUGCUUUUCUCCAUGACUAUACCAAUCCGAUUAUAAUCAUCAAAUCGCAGAGAUAUUUGAUAGCAUUUACUUACUACAAAAUUACAAAAUAUUUAGACAAUAAUUCAUAAACAUAUCAUAAAUAAGAUCAAUAUUAAUAAAAUUAAUGGUUUUUUUACGGGACGGGUUGGCGGGACGGGUUUGGCAGGACGUUACUUAAUAACAAUUGUAAACUAUAAAAUAAAAAUAUUUUAUAGAUAGAUACAAUUUACAAACUUUUAUGUAUACUAACUUUUAAAAAUAAAUUGUUCCCGCGGUACACUGCGGCUUAAAAUCUAGUAGUUUAAUUAAAAGUGGAGAGAAGUGUAUUUUUCAUACAAAAACUCAUAAACAAGGUAGUUUUCAAAAUUCCCUAAUAAUUAUCAUGUA